AGCAGCCGCGGUAAUUCCAGCUCCAAUAGCGUAUAUUAAAGUUGUUGCAGUUAAAAAGCUCGUAGUUGAAUUUCGGGAUCAAUACGUCGGUCGUGCUUCGGUGCGUACUGGUGUCAUUGAUUUCUCCCUUCUGAAGAACCAUGAUGUCAUUAACUUGGUGUCAUGGGAAAUCAGGACUGUUACUUUGAAAAAAUUAGAGUGUUUAAAGCAGGCUCACGCUUGAAUACAUUAGCAUGGAAUAAUGAAAUAGGACGUUCGAACCUAUUUUGUUGGUUUCUAGGAUCAACGUAAUGAUUAAUAGGGAUAGUUGGGGGCAUUAGUAUUCAAUUGUCAGAGGUGAAAUUCUUGGAUUUAUUGAAGACUAACUACUGCGAAAGCAUUUGCCAAGGAUGUUUUCAUUAAUCAAGAACGAAAGUUAGGGGAUCGAAGACGAUCAGAUACCGUCGUAGUCUUAACCAUAAACUAUGCCGACUAGGGAUCGGAUGAUGUUAAUUUUUUAAUGACUCAUUCGGCGCCUUACG
This 521-nucleotide ribosomal RNA is filed under the name uncultured Glomeraceae. RNAcentral's name for it is "SSU rRNA". It matches the Rfam family "Eukaryotic small subunit ribosomal RNA", at positions 569 to 1092 of the family's 1831-position model. The record is from RNAcentral. Lineage: Eukaryota; Fungi; Glomeromycota; Glomeromycetes; Glomerales; Glomeraceae.